Molecule: non-coding RNA, 114 nt
Organism: Acanthosepion pharaonis
Lineage: Eukaryota; Metazoa; Mollusca; Cephalopoda; Sepiida; Sepiidae
Source: the annotation of a GenBank genome assembly
UUACGAUCAUAUCACGCUGGAAUAACCAGUUUUUGUGUGAUCACCAAAGUUAAGCAACGUCGAACCUGAUCAGUACCUAGAUAGGUGACCACUUGGGAAUGCUAGGAGCUGUAA